GAAAUGAUGGUUAAUAAUUGAACACAAGACAACAUAAUUUUUGAAAGGAUCUGUUAUUGGGGACCUUAAUGGGCCAAUGCCCUUGAAUUUGAAGGGAUCAGCAUUAAUAGGCCAGUUUCACAUUCACACCCAGAAAAGUAGAAAUCUGAUAUACACCGUAGCCCCUCCCUCAAUCGCAGGUCACAGCUAAGGAACAGCCUUGCCAUUGGGCUCAUGGUAUGCACCAGACUUAACCAUUUAGGCAUGCCAUUGAUGCUUUUGGGAGUACUCAAAUUCAGUACUUUACAGCUUUAAGAAAACGAUCAUCCAGAACCAAAACCAAACAGUCCGGUCUCAGUUCUCA
Molecule: unclassified non-coding RNA, 343 nt
Filed under: Hevea brasiliensis (rubber tree)
Lineage: Eukaryota; Viridiplantae; Streptophyta; Magnoliopsida; Malpighiales; Euphorbiaceae
Source: RNAcentral